Molecule: ribosomal RNA, 939 nt
Filed under: Candidatus Poseidoniaceae archaeon
Lineage: Archaea; Methanobacteriati; Thermoplasmatota; Candidatus Poseidoniia; Candidatus Poseidoniales; Candidatus Poseidoniaceae
Description: bacterial SSU rRNA
Rfam family: Archaeal small subunit ribosomal RNA
Source: RNAcentral
AAUCUGGUUGAUCCUGCCAGAGGCGACCGCUAUUGGAGUUCGAUUAAGCCAUGCGAGUAGAAAGAAAUUAGAUUCUUUGCAUACUGCUCAGUAACACGUGGAUAACCUGCCCUACACUGGGGGAUAAUCUCGGGAAACUGAGCAUAAUACCCCAUAGACCACUACGCCUGGAACGGUGAGUGGUUGAAAGCUCAGGCGGUGUAGGAUGGGUCUGCGGCGUAUCAGGUCGUAGGGGGUGUAAUGGACCUCCUAGCCAUCGACGCGUACGGGUUGUGGGAGCAAUAGCCCGGAGACGGAUUCUGAGACACGAAUCCGGACCCUACGGGGUGCAGCAGGCGCGAAAACUUCACACUGCAGGAAACUGUGAUGAGGGAACUCCAAGUGACUGCACAAUGUGUAGCCUUUUCUUGAAUCUUAAUAGUUCUUGGAAUAAGGGCUGGGAAAGACCGGUGCCAGCCGCCGCGGUAAUACCGGCAGCUCAAGUGGUCGUCGCUUUUAUUGGGCCUAAAACGUCCGUAGCCUGUUUGGUAAAUCUGUGGGUAAAUCAACGAGCUUAACUCGUUGAAUUCUGCAGAGACUGCCAGACUAGGGACCGGGAGAGGUAUGAGGUACUCUGGGGGUAGGGGUAAAAUCCUGUCAUCCUCAGAGGACCACCUGUUGCGAAGGCGUCAUACUGGAACGGAUCCGACGGUCAGGGACGAAGCCUAGGGGCACGAACCGGAUUAGAUACCCGGGUAGUCCUAGGUGUAAACGCUGUGGAUUUGGUGUGUGGGGUCCGCAAUGGGCCCCAUGUGCCGGAGUGAAGAUGUUAAAUCCACUGCCUGGGGAGUACGGUCGCAAGGCUGAAACUUAAAGGAAUUGGCGGGGGAGCACUGCAACGGGAGGAGCGUGCGGUUUAAUUGGAUUCAACGCCGGAAAACUCACCAAGGCCGACUGUUA